GAAUGCGCGCGCGACCGAAAGACCGCGGGAUGGGGAAUAGGGCCGAGGCCGUGCGCGGUGCCGAUCAUCGACGGGGACAGCCGAGUGGCGGCGGGCAGCGACGAGGGAGGAUGGAAAGGGCGGAGACUGAGCGGAAAGAGACGAAGCUGAGCCGAUGUCGAGCGAUGGUGGCCGAAAACUGACGGAAGAAUCCGAAGGCCCAAGGGAGGGUUCGAGGGCCGCUCGGCGCGUAGACCCAGUCGGGGAGCCGAGGCUGAGGACCCAGCGGUGGGACGGAAUGGGAGGGAGCGGGCCGCGCCGAGAGCGGCGGUAGGCCCGGACACGGGGACACCGAGGACGGCGGGACACGGAGGACGGCGGGACACCGAGGACGGAGUGGCUGUUGUGAAGCCCAACGUCCACAGGAUGGAAAGUACGGUGUUACUGUACCCUGAUACAUGCCCCCCGUGCUGCGCAGGGAAGUGUCCCUGAGGCCACGGCCAAGCCCCUCGUGGCACCCUGGCACCCGGAGAACCUUGCAGACCACAGAGACAAGGCUGGAUCGCAGCUGCCCGAGCCUGGGGGUCGGGAGGGCACACAGGGUCCCAGCACAGCAAGAAAGGCAGGCUUUGGGGGGGCUGCUCAGAAGCACGUGCUCAGCUGCCCCUGCAGAGACCGGCCGCCCGUCCACCUGUCUCGUUCGGGUCACGUCCGGGGCUUCCUGCUCCCGGGGGGGGGGGGGGGGCAGCUGCAGGCCAGAAAAGACUGCACUCUUGGCUGAAGCAGCAAAGUACACGACCGUGCACCCAGCUUGACGUCUGGCCCCCUUUGUUGUAGUGUGGUCUGUACAGCAAGGGUUCCAGGAAGCUGACGAGGAUGCUAGAAAAUCCUGAGAGGAUAGAUUGGGCCAGGUGUCCCACAGGUGAAAGGCAGGGGAGGAUCACGGCCCUGUCCCCAGCACUCACCCCCACAUGUCAACUGUUUCUUCUCCCGCCAGUCACACGAUGACCACGUACCAACCACUUUACCCUUUUCUCACAUCCUGCCACUAACCAGGGUCCCGGGUCCCGCAUCCCCUGUGCUCAGGAGACCCUGGGGAGGGGGGGGUCCCACCUUAUCCCCUCCUAGAACAUACCCCGUCCACUGGCUGAGGCACAGAUACCGUGACCGCCGCCCUCAGUGUCCAGGACCGCGCAGACGCAGCAGGGAUUCACAGGAGGUAAGGGAAGUGCCUGCUUACUCUCCCACCCCUGCGUGGUCUGUUGACUGUGGGCUGCAGACACCCACCUUCUCAGGGGACGCUGUGGCACAGAGCAGGACACAGGUUAAUUAAUCGCAGAGUUUGUUAUUUCUUCUAAA
Leopardus geoffroyi (Geoffroy's cat) is the source of this 1338-nucleotide long non-coding RNA. RefSeq lists it as uncharacterized. Lineage: Eukaryota; Metazoa; Chordata; Mammalia; Carnivora; Felidae. The transcript is spliced from 2 exons. The record is from RefSeq and is a predicted model, not a curated record.